This is a long non-coding RNA of Solenopsis invicta (red fire ant), 2660 nucleotides long. RefSeq lists it as uncharacterized. The record is from RefSeq and is a predicted model, not a curated record. NCBI's taxonomy places the organism in Eukaryota, Metazoa, Arthropoda, Insecta, Hymenoptera, Formicidae. The transcript has 2 exons.
UUUGUUAUCUGUAUAAUUUUCUAACAUUAUUAAUAAAUAAUAAAUUAAAUAAUUAAAUAAAUUUUAAAAUAUAGUAAGAUCAUUUGUAAAAAGUACAUAAUCUAUUAUAUUAAUAAUCGCCAUACAAAUUACCUAGAAAGAUAAAAAAGUACCAAGUGUCUGCGUCCAUCAAAAUAAUUAUGUGAAACGUUGCUUUUGAUCUAUCUUUGCUAGAAAAGUGGUAAUAUUAAAUGUUUUAGCCAACUAAAUAUCAAUUUAUAUACAUUCAAAAAUCUCAUAAUAAAGACCUUACAAAGGUGGAAAGUGUAUGCCGUAUAUCUAAAACACGUCUAAUGUAAUACACAAUGUUAAAUAAUAAAUUAACUGUAAUAAGUUGACUUGUAUUAACUGUUCAAAAAUAUGAAAUCAAUCAAUCAAUAUUACAAUUUAACAUAUUUUCAUUAUUUUAUUCAUGGUUUUAUAAUAAAAUAAAAAAUAACAUAAAAUGUUUAUAAGUUAAAAAUAAUCAAAAGUGAUUAAAUGUAAAAAUGGCUUGUAUAAAAAAAAUAAUAUUGCUUAAUGCUUUUCUUGUACAAAAAAUUUGUAAAAUAUCAAAUAUAAACUACAAAUUUAUUCAUUUUUUUCUGACUAAAGACUCUCAUACAUUUCCUAAAAUAAUACACACCUUAGUUUAAAAAAAAAAUUGUAAUCUAUUUUUUUAAUUAAACAAUGUUAGAGCAAACUAUUAAUGCAUAUUAAAACAUUGUACACUUAUCUAAUCUAUCAAGGAGAGAAAUGAAAAGGUUUCUUUGAAAUGCAGCUUGAUGCAAAAGAUAAUCCUUUGUGCUCAUAUUAAGAAUCUUAAAUCGUAGCUUCAGACAUUUAAAAAAAAAACUGCAAUAAAUAUAAAAAUUUUGAUAUCAUUGGAUCUUUAAUUACUUGGUAGGAUGAUAGAUUUCAGGAAAUAGAGGAAAACAUUUAUUUUACGUUAUUUCAGAACCAAUCAACUUUUUCGGGUGCAUAGAUGUAAAUAUAGUUCAGAUUAAUACACGGAUAAUGUGCUCUUUCGUUACUAUCUCGACAGUACAGUGGAUUAAGCGUAAACUAGUACUCGGGCUGUCCGUAUUCGCAUUAUUCCAAAUUGUACAAUAUUUAUAUCCAACAUAAAGUUAAUAAGUCCUAGAAAAUUAUAACACAUAACUUUUCUUCUCCAUUUCCUAAAAUCUAUCAUCCUAUCAAAUAAUUAUAGAAAUCCAAUGAUUUAAAAAUUUAUAUAAUUAUUGUUUAAAAAAAAAAUUGAAGAGUGUCUGCAGUGAAGUGAAAAUUCUUAAUAUGGGCAUAAAGAAUUACCUUCUGUAACAAACCGUGCGUAUAUUUCAAAAAGACGUUUCCAGUUUUUUUUAGAAAGGAGCUUCCCUUUUUAAGUGUAAAAGUAAAAUACAAAUACCUAAAAUGACAAGAUAUAGAUAUACUGUACAAUAAGUGUAUUUAGAAUUUUUCAAUUUAACUCGUUUAUAUAUUUAAAUUAAACACAUAUAUUUGUGUAAAUGUGCAUUUCAUCACGCACAGUAGUAUAUCUAAUCAAAUUCGCUAUUAGUUACUGUUGGUUUUAAUAAUUGUUUCUUUUUAGUUUAUAUUAUGUAUUGGCAACACUCGCUAGAUAUUAGUUACUAAUGUUAAUGUUGGCACUAACCUUGCCUUCGCGCUUAAACCUGUUCCCCUCUCACUUCUGUAAGGCCCUACUCUCUUCUUGUGCCACGCGCUUGUACGCUCAACACGUUUUAGGAUAUAAAUAAAAGCUCUUUGUAAAUUCGUGCACAAUAAAGUGUUUAUAACUAAUAGUUACAUCUGUACUAAAUAAAAUACCUAUUUACUUAUGUAGAUUAAGAUUAAAUCUGAGAAAAUAUUGAGCCAGGCAUGAACCAAACUUUAAAACAGCAUUUCAGCUUUAAAACAGCGGUUAAAAUUAUUUAAAAUUCUUUUUAUUUUAUGCAGUCUCAAACCGAUAGUGUGCAUUUAAACACUGUAGCCCAACUAGCUUCCACAAUAUGCUACUAAUAAAGUAUAACAUAGUUGUACAUCAUUCUAUGUAUUUUUAUAUAGAAUAAAGAAAAAAUCAAUUAAUAUAACAAAAUUAAUUUAGAUGGAGGUGCCUUUGAUAUUAAAACCACUUAAAACCAAACACCGGAAAAAUUAUUAUUAAAACCAAAAAUAUAAAAAGAAUAGACCGAGUGUAAAUCGCAAAAAAUCAUAUAGAAAGGAACAGAGACAAUUAACAAAUCAAAGAAAAGUUAAUUGCUUGAAUCAAAUAGAGAAAGAAAUACAAGAAUUUUCUGUUUCUUCUUCCUAAUUUUUUUAUUUUUACUACUUAAUUAAACAAACGCGCGGUCUAUUCUAACUAACGUUUAUAAUUGAAACUAAUUUUUAUGUAACAUACAUUUUAUUUUACAAAUAGCUUUCAAAAUAUUUUAAAUUGUUACUUAAAAUCAAUUAGCCUUUAUUUAAUUGUCUAGCGAUCAAUGUUGCACAUUUUUAAUGUUUGCUUUCCACGCGUAAGAAUGAAAUAAUAUGAAUUCGAUCGAUGCAGUUUAGUUAAAUACUUAAAAAUUGAAAACGGAUGUGUACGUAUCAUUAAAAUAUAAUGUUUCUUACCACCAAAAUGACUGGACAUUAAAAAAAAA